This is a long non-coding RNA of Hibiscus syriacus, 567 nucleotides long. RefSeq lists it as uncharacterized. The transcript has 3 exons. The record is from RefSeq and is a predicted model, not a curated record. Lineage: Eukaryota; Viridiplantae; Streptophyta; Magnoliopsida; Malvales; Malvaceae.
UUUAUUUUUAUCAAAUCCUAAGUUUAUCAAAUUUCAGCCGUAUCAUUUCUUUCUAAGAAGAUUUUCGAGUUUUGCAGUAGUUCAAGGAACUAGAGUGAAGAAAAAGGAAAGAGAACAUCAGAUUAAUUUCAUCUUCAACUCAAUAAUUGGUUGCAUCUCUUGAUAUAUUUCAUUGUUCAACUUCAUCAAACGUCAUCAAUAGGUAUGUAAAAAAGUUCGUAUUUUUUUUUAUAUUAGUAAUAUAUAUCAGAUCCGACUCUUUCUAAUAGUCUCUCCAAAAAUGGGGUUCGGGGGAGGCCACAAAGAGUUCGGGGGAGACAUUUUCAGAUCUUUAUUUGUGGUUCUGCAGGUGAAUCGAUUGUCGUUUUAGGAGGGAUAUUUUGGUUGUGCUUGCCAUUUUUUGUUGUUGUUUUGACUGUGUUGUUCGAUAUGUGACGGAUGACGUUUUGCUAAGUUGCUACUCGUAUGAUUUGGUUGGUCCAUUUUAUUUUCAAGUAUGUUUUAAGAUGGAAAUGUUCAUGGAUGUUUAUAAAUAUUGCUAUAAUGUUUUAAGAUUGUAAUUUGUUA